GCAAGCGGCAUUUCUCGGCGAUCUGUCUGGCAGCACUGCUUCAAGUUGAAUACACCGGAUUCAUUCAGGAACAAAGCAAGUCUUUACAAGACACCUUUCCUGAAGCUUCAUCCUGUGGAGAUUACUGGAUGUACCUUGCGUUAUGUCACCUCGUCCCAGCCUUGAACACAUCCUGACAACUACGUCGUGAACAAAGAUCCGAUCUCAUAAUGGGAAAACAUUCUGCUGUCAGAUGCUCACGGUCACUUUGAGGUGCAGGUGCCCUCGGUGCGAUCAGGGUUGACGUAUCCCAGAAGCCUUGGCUGCAAUUCCGCAAGCUUCACGUCAGCUGUAAAUGGCCAAGGGAAUUGGGACUUAAAUCUGUUCCUCAUCCACAUGACACCCUCCAGCCAAAAGUCUAAGUCUUUAAGUGAAAACACACGCCUGUAGACUCAGCGUGAUGUGUUAUCUCUUGCCUUUGAAGCCCAGCUGUAGAGCAGGCCCUGGCAAGCUGAGGUGAGAGAGAGAACGACGUCAACAAGGCCAAAGUGCGGAUGCAGACAUGGAGGUCAAUGAGACACAACAUAAACCCAUCAAACUGCCCUCUCAGACAGCCAGUGCCAAAGACUAAUAUGAGCGUAUUAUCCACAUCAUGAAGUAAUGUGGCUGAAAGGCAGUAUUAACCGUCAGUAGCCUCUUCAACUUGCGGCCUCUUUCACUCACUCUUCUUCCUAAUAGUUCUAAUGCCAAAGGCUCACUGUGAUGUCCAAGACAUGAAACAGAUGGGCAGUUCGUAUGCCAGAGAAGGGCUGGGCGAUAGCUAAAGCAGAUUAAUAUAGAUACAUAGAGAUUAAUCUAAAUGUUUGUACAACAGUUCUUUCUGGUUCUCAAACCUGAUUCCAGAUCUGAUUCUUUCCAGCCAUGUGAUAUUCUACCAAUAUCACCACAGGAACCGUUUGAAUCACUCCGCUGUCAGCAUUCUCACAGCGAGUGUCAUGCCGGAUGAGCAAACUCAUCAUAUUUAUAUAGAUACUACUGUUAUUUUGAAAUGGAAUGUAGUUUUAUGAGUUUUUUAGGCGAGAAGUUGUUUAGACCUCAGAUAUGCGAUUCAUAUGUAAAGCACCUAUUUGAAAAUUUGUUUAGAGGCUUUUGGAGAUGUGAGCUCCAGGCCAUCAGCGACCGUUCAGUGCUCAUGUACCCACAGAGAACAGCUUCAUCUUGGCCAGUCCUUCAGGAAUUUGUGUAGAUAGUGUUUAAACAUGAGGUAUAAUUCUUUUUGGGUAUAUCAAAUGGGCAGUCUUUGGUCUUAUUAAUCUAUUACUUGUUCCAGAGCAAAUAGAUUUGGCUUAAGGGUUAUAUUAAGAUUCAUAACUUUAUAUUUACAUUGAAAUUAAGUCCUGUACUAACCAGAGCGCUUCUUUUGUACGUUUGACUACUGUUUGAACUUUUUGCUUGUUUAUUUCUUAUUUUACUUCUGUUAUAAUGGCUAUUGUUGUUAAUUUUAAAAUUAUUGUUCAAUAAUUAAUAUUUUAUAUAAAUAACGUCAUAUUUUUUGGUAUUGAGAAAGGGUCUGUUAAUGAUUUUGACUUCAGUGAAAGUCAUUUUACAUUUUCGAAAGACAUUAAUACGCCAUUAGAUGGCGGCAAAGACAGCCUUUUUGAGUGAGUCAGUCAG
Molecule: long non-coding RNA, 1653 nt
Organism: Megalobrama amblycephala (Wuchang bream)
Lineage: Eukaryota; Metazoa; Chordata; Actinopteri; Cypriniformes; Xenocyprididae
Exons: 3
Source: RefSeq, a predicted model, not a curated record